AUGAACGCUGGCGGCGUGCCUCAUCCAUGCAAGUCGCGCGAACGGACGAGAAGCUUGCUUUUCUGAUGUUAGCGGCGGACGGGUGAGUAACACGUGGAUAACCUACCUAUAAGACUGGGAUAACUUCGGGAAACCGGAGCUAAUACCGGAUAAUAUUUUGAACCGCAUGGUUCAAAAGUGAAAGACGGUCUUGCUGUCACUUAUAGAUGGAUCCGCGCUGCAUUAGCUAGUUGGUAAGGUAACGGCUUACCAAGGCAACGAUGCAUAGCCGACCUGAGAGGGUGAUCGGCCACACUGGAACUGAGACACGGUCCAGACUCCUACGGGAGGCAGCAGUAGGGAAUCUUCCGCAAUGGGCGAAAGCCUGACGGAGCAACGCCGCGUGAGUGAUGAAGGUCUUCGGAUCGUAAAACUCUGUUAUUAGGGAAGAACAUAUGUGUAAGUAACUGUGCACAUCUUGACGGUACCUAAUCAGAAAGCCACGGCUAACUACGUG
RNAcentral lists this ribosomal RNA (496 nucleotides) under uncultured bacterium. RNAcentral describes it as "partial 16S ribosomal RNA". It matches the Rfam family "Bacterial small subunit ribosomal RNA", at positions 29 to 507 of the family's 1533-position model. The record is from RNAcentral.